Mytilus californianus (California mussel) is the source of this 1016-nucleotide long non-coding RNA. RefSeq lists it as uncharacterized. The record is from RefSeq and is a predicted model, not a curated record. Lineage: Eukaryota; Metazoa; Mollusca; Bivalvia; Mytilida; Mytilidae. The transcript has 3 exons.
GCAUUAAGUGUUACCCUUGUCCGUCUGUCUGUCCCGUCCAUCCCAAAAAUUUGUUACCGUUCUCUAACUUUAGUUUGCCUCAACCAAAUGUUUUGAAACUUAUACACAAUGCUCAUAACCACAAAACACAGAUCAUGUUUGAAAUUGGUUGGUGUCACUUUUACCGUUCAUGAGUUAUGCCCCUUUAUAAACAUAAAAAUUGCUGAAUUUUUCGUUUCCAUUCUCUAACUUUAGUAUGACUCAACCAAAUAUUAUAAAACUUAUACACAAUGCUUAUUACCACAAAACACAGAUCAAGUUCGAAAUUGGGUGGCUUCAGUUCUUGAGUUAUGCCCUUUAUAAAUGGAAAAAUUGCUAAAUCUGUUGUUUCCGUUCUCUAAUUUUAGUUUGCCUCAACCAAAUGUUAUGAAACUUAUACACAAUGCUUAUGAUCACAAAACGGUCUUAACGAUGUGAAUCCUACAUCUAUAUGUGGAAGUGGACUCGUGCAUAUUUACAAGAGGGGGCAUCUGUGGCCCAUAGACACAUUCUCCAUUUAUUUUAUUAUUUGUUUAUAGGCUGAUGUAAUGACAAUGAUUUCAUGGUGUUGGGAGUAAGAAUUGGAGAUCUGAUACUGCUAACAUGUUGGUUAGCAUCACAGCUUGUCAAUAGGGAUACUGGCUGGGGUAGCAUUUGGAUCUGUUUCAAGGUGUGUUCCUGCUGCUGCCUUGUGUGGUCAAUCCUGUGGACAAUAAUAAUCAUGCAAACCACAUAUAUGUUGCAUUUUUGUUUACUAAAAUCCUUAAAUGAUAAUUCUGAAAGCCAAAUGAUUAAUUUUUUAAUGCUGUUAUUUAUUUUCCAUUUACUGUAAACUCACAAAUUUUUGAUAUAUUUUUUUUACUGAAAAUUGCUACACCGAGAUAGAUUUUGCAAAAAUAAAAUUAUAUUUCAAAUUUUGAUAGCAUUAUUUAUUUGCAACAUGUCCUUAAUGACAAUAAUUAAUUUAAAUAAAUGCUUGCAAAUUUUUUUUGAAUUUA